RNAcentral lists this ribosomal RNA (497 nucleotides) under uncultured bacterium. RNAcentral describes it as "partial 16S ribosomal RNA". It matches the Rfam family "Bacterial small subunit ribosomal RNA", at positions 28 to 507 of the family's 1533-position model. The record is from RNAcentral.
GAUGAACGCUGGCGGCGUGCCUAAUACAUGCAAGUCGAGCGAACAGACGAGGAGCUUGCUCCUCUGACGUUAACGGCGGACGGGUGAGUAACACGUGGAUAACCUACCUAUAAGACUGGGAUAAAUUCGGGAAACCGGAGCUAAUACCGGAUAAUAUAUUGAACCGCAUGGUUCAAUAGUGAAAGACGGUUUUGCUGUCACUUAUAGAUGGAUCCGCGCCGCAUUAGCUAGUUGGUAAGGUAACGGCUUACCAAGGCAACGAUGCGUAGCCGGCCUGAGAGGGUGGUCGGCCACACUGGAACUGAGACACGGUCCAGACUCCUACGGGAGGCAGCAGUAGGGAAUCUUCCGCAAUGGGCGAAAGCCUGACGGAGCAACGCCGCGUGAGUGAUGAAGGUCUUCGGAUCGUAAAACUCUGUUAUUAGGGAAGAACAAAUGUGUAAGUAACUAUGCACGUCUUGACGGUACCUAAUCAGAAAGCCACGGCUAACUACGUG